This 75-nucleotide transfer RNA is filed under the name Candidatus Sneabacter namystus. It matches the Rfam family "tRNA". Rfam says of the family: Transfer RNA (tRNA) molecules are approximately 80 nucleotides in length. Their secondary structure includes four short double-helical elements and three loops (D, anti-codon, and T loops). Further hydrogen bonds mediate the characteristic L-shaped molecular structure. tRNAs have two regions of fundamental functional importance: the anti-codon, which is responsible for specific mRNA codon recognition, and the 3' end, to which the tRNAs corresponding amino acid is attached (by aminoacyl-tRNA synthetases). tRNAs cope with the degeneracy of the genetic code in two manners: having more than one tRNA (with a specific anti-codon) for a particular amino acid; and 'wobble' base-pairing, i.e. permitting non-standard base-pairing at the 3rd anti-codon position. The record is from Rfam by way of RNAcentral. Lineage: Bacteria; Pseudomonadati; Pseudomonadota; Alphaproteobacteria; Rickettsiales; Rickettsiaceae.
GCGCUCGUAGCUCAAUUGGAUAGAGCACAUGACUACGGAUCAUGAGGUUUAGGGGUUCAAGUCCUCUCGAGCGCG